AAGUAGGAUGCAUCAGUAUGGUCUUUUUCAUUUCAGGUUGCUUGUCCUAGACUGACCCAACCCUUGUGCUGAGCCACCUAAGCCAAAAUGCACAUGAUGCAUAUAAGCGUUCGUACUAGGGAUCCAGCAUGAAGUUGAGUUAUUCUAGGUUCAGAACCUGGGUGUUUGUUUCAUACCUGGCUUACCCAAGUGGUCAACCCGAGCCGAGGGGGAGGCAGCGUACCGGGAAUACAGAAGCUUCUCCGUCUUUGCAACUUAUCCAAACCUCGAUCUAAAUUGGGAAUUAGAUACUAUACAGAAAAGAAGUCAUACGAAGUGCACCCUUCUUCAUGAUUUAGAAGACCCAUAGAGGAUAUGGGUUACGGCAUAGUUUAUAUACAAUUCACAUAAUAUCAAAGCGGUAAAAUACGUCAAUUAGCACAUUAGGCACAGAUCAUGUAACAAAAUUAGAUAACGUCAAACACUACUAUUAUUCUAAGCUCGAAUUCUGAACCCUGAAAAAAACGUUUUGGGUUCUUAUCCUAGCAGUGUCGCCAGAGCUGUCACAUCUCCUUUUUUACUACACCCCGCGCAUAAAUGAGUUUUUUCACUUAAAGGGCAAUUGAAGCGGGAUUUAUUAUUAAAAAUCAGAGUCGCCACUUGGGAGAUUAAGGGUGUCCCAAGUCACCGGUUGAAUCCCGAACCGAGAAAAAUAUGACUCUGUUAACAGUCCGUUGACCAAAAAUCUAAGUAAGGAAUUCUAUUAACCUGGGAGAAGGUGUUGGGCAUUCUCGGAUUCCCCGGAUCUAGCACAGUCGAUCAACCGUUGUAUUUAGCUUAUUUAUUUA
This 827-nucleotide long non-coding RNA is filed under the name Nicotiana benthamiana. Its description in RNAcentral is "long non-coding RNA (NBEN_LNC012079)". The record is from RNAcentral. Lineage: Eukaryota; Viridiplantae; Streptophyta; Magnoliopsida; Solanales; Solanaceae.